This 128-nucleotide small RNA is filed under the name Pantoea ananatis. RNAcentral describes it as "RtT sRNA". It matches the Rfam family "RtT RNA". Rfam says of the family: This family represents a bacterial cis-regulatory element known as RtT RNA. The exact function of RtT is unknown although it is thought that it may be involved in changing the cellular response in relation to amino acid starvation. Lineage: Bacteria; Pseudomonadati; Pseudomonadota; Gammaproteobacteria; Enterobacterales; Erwiniaceae. The record is from RNAcentral. RNAcentral also lists the same sequence under 1 other name.
UUUUCGCCUGAAUGAAAGAGGAUGAGAACCUCCGAAGGAGGGUUGCGCCGAGCGCAGCGAGACAACGUUGCGAACGCAACGGCCCGAAGGGGGCUUACGCAGUAAGCCUAAUCCUCUCUCGCCGACCA